Molecule: ribosomal RNA, 253 nt
Filed under: uncultured bacterium
Lineage: Bacteria
Description: partial 16S ribosomal RNA
Rfam family: Bacterial small subunit ribosomal RNA
Source: RNAcentral
UACGAAGGGUGCAAGCGUUACUCGGAAUUACUGGGCGUAAAGGGUGCGCAGGCGGUUUUGUAAGCCAGAUGUGAAAUCCCCGGGCUCAACCUGGGAAUGGCAUUUGGGACUGCAAGGCUAGAGUGUGGCAGAGGAGACUGGAAUUCCCGGUGUAGCAGUGAAAUGCGUAGAUAUCGGGAGGAAUACCGAUGGCGAAGGCAGGUCUCUGGGCUGACACUGACGCUCAUGCACGAAAGCGUGGGGAGCAAACAGG